Molecule: ribosomal RNA, 592 nt
Filed under: uncultured Lachnum
Lineage: Eukaryota; Fungi; Ascomycota; Leotiomycetes; Helotiales; Hyaloscyphaceae
Description: eukaryotic LSU rRNA
Rfam family: 5.8S ribosomal RNA (bases 233-386)
Source: RNAcentral
CUUGGUCAUUUAGAGGAAGUAAAAGUCGUAACAAGGUUUCCGUAGGUGAUCCUGCGGAAGGAUCAUUACAGAGUUCAUGCUCUUCGGGGUAGAUCUCCCACCCUUGUGUAUCAUUAUAGAAUGUUGCUUUGGCGGGCCGCGCCUAGUGUGCCUGGAUUCGCGUCCAGCGUGCCCGCCAGAGGACCCCUAAACUCUGAAUGUUAGUGUCGUCUGAGUACUAUUAAAUAGUUAAAACUUUCAACAACGGAUCUCUUGGUUCUGGCAUCGAUGAAGAACGCAGCGAAAUGCGAUAAGUAAUGUGAAUUGCAGAAUUCAGUGAAUCAUCGAAUCUUUGAACGCACAUUGCGCCCCCUGGUAUUCCGGGGGGCAUGCCUGUUCGAGCGUCAUUUAUACCAAUCUAGCCUGGCUAGGUGUUGGGCUUCGCCGUCUGGCGGGCCUUAAAACUAGUGGCGGUGCUCUUAGGCUCUACGCGUAGUAAUUUUCUCGCUAUAGGGUCCUGGGAGAUGCUUGCCAGCAACCCCAAAUUUUUCUAGGUUGACCUCGGAUCAGGUAGGGAUACCCGCUGAACUUAAGCAUAUCAAUAAGCGGAGGA